Non-coding RNA from Nelumbo nucifera (sacred lotus), 1190 nucleotides. The record is from RefSeq and is a predicted model, not a curated record. NCBI's taxonomy places the organism in Eukaryota, Viridiplantae, Streptophyta, Magnoliopsida, Proteales, Nelumbonaceae.
GUUAGGUUAUUCCCAGUUCUCAAAAGUUCAUACAGAACGAUUCUUAUCUACACGUUCAUUGGUUUAAUAUACUGUAAUAGUAACGCCGGAUCUGCCAAAUCUUGGGAUUGACUAGUAUUGAUCUCUUCUCCCCAUCAGACGUUGAGAAAAGGGAUACUUGCAGAGUUUGUUUGUGCAUUCGCUCCCUCUCAAAGAAAGCAAGGGAUGCCCACUGAUUUGGUUGGAUUAAUCCGCAGAAGCAUGGAGCAAUUCACAGUGUAGCUCUUCAAGUUCUGCUAGUUGCAGUCAAUCCAUGGAAUCAAGAGUAAAUUACAGAAAAAUUGGGGGUGCGGACUACACCAGACAAUCUGAUUCAUAUUCUAAAGCAUCUGAUGAUGGAGAAAGCAAUUUAAUUAGGGAAAUUGAUUUUCAUAGCCCAAACUCAAAAACUUCAUGUGAUAAUAUGUCUCUCUUGAUUUUGAUUUCAAGUGUAGAGAAUUCCACGGGAGGAAAUUCAGUGAUUGUAGAGAACUUUAUCUCUUCAAACAUAUUUCAUUCAGAUAUUUGGGAUCAACAGACAGAAGGGAACAGACUUGAUCAUUAUAGACAACUCAGUUUAGUAGAAUAAAUGGUUUCCCCUAAAACAGAUCACCAGAUAAAUGAUAACCAUCAAUUAGAUGCUGCUCAGCUAUAUAUUAUGUUAUCCCCUCAUGCACCAAGUCUCAAAUUGAAUUAAAUGUACUACUAAAAUAUCUAGAAAAUAAACAAAACAAGAGGGAAAAAAACAUUAAACUUAACGUACUAAAAUAGAUUAAACCAAUGGACGUAUAGAUGAAGAAUCGUUCUGUUUGAACUUUUGAGAGUUGGGAAAUCACCAAAAGAGUUGCUUUGGUGUAGGACUUUGCUUGGAAAUGGGAAAUUAUCAAAUGAAGUUCUAUUCUGUCAGUGGUCCUCCCUUCUUAAUCCUAAUUGGCUUAUUAAUUGACUUGACCAAUAAAAAAUCGUGGGAGGACAAAUUCAUCCUUCUUGGAAUUCGCCAAGAAAAAUCCCCGGUGGCCGAUCUUGAAAACAUUACAAACCCUACUACUCUUAUUUGCCGUCCUCCUCUUUCAGACGAGAGACAUCUCUCGUGCUUCUGUAAAAAUGGAGGAGUUUCUGGCAACUCCUAGCAAGAGCAGAGGACGGAAGAAGAGUUUGAAUGAAGAAGAAGA